This 274-nucleotide ribosomal RNA is filed under the name uncultured bacterium. RNAcentral's name for it is "partial 16S ribosomal RNA". It matches the Rfam family "Bacterial small subunit ribosomal RNA", at positions 523 to 796 of the family's 1533-position model. The record is from RNAcentral.
AUACGGAGGGAGCAAGCGUUAUUCGGAAUCACUGGGCGUAAAGGACGCGUUGGCGGGUUUGUAAGUCAGGUGUGAAAUCCUACAGCUCAACUGUAGAACUGCACUUGAAACUACAUACCUAGAGUAUGGAAGGGGCAGAUGGAAUUAGUGGUGUAGGGGUAAAAUCCGUAGAUAUCACUAGGAAUACCGAAAGCGAAGGCGAUCUGCUGGGACAUUACUGACGCUGAGGCGUGAAAGCGUGGGGAGCAAACAGGAUUAGAAACCCUAGUAGUCC